GGAGUUUGGACCGUGUCUCAGUUCCAAUGUGGGGGACCUUCCUCUCAGAACCCCUACUGAUCGUCGCCAUGGUGGGCCGUUACCCCGCCAUCAAGCUAAUCAGACGCAUCCCCAUCCUAUAGCGGUGAACCUUUGAUUCAAAUUAGAUGUCCGCUUUGAAUAACAUAGAGCAUUAAUCCGACUUUCGCCGGGCUAUUCUCUACUAUAGGGAAGGUUGGAUACGCGUUACUCACCCGUGCGCCGGUCGCCAUCAAAGUUUGCAAGCAAACUUCAUGCUGCCCCUCGACUUGCAUGUGUUAAGCCUGUAGCUAGCGUUCAUC
RNAcentral lists this ribosomal RNA (320 nucleotides) under uncultured Prevotella sp. RNAcentral describes it as "partial 16S ribosomal RNA". The record is from RNAcentral. Lineage: Bacteria; Pseudomonadati; Bacteroidota; Bacteroidia; Bacteroidales; Prevotellaceae.